RNAcentral lists this unclassified non-coding RNA (247 nucleotides) under fungal sp. RNAcentral's name for it is "partial internal transcribed spacer region". The stretch from base 1 to 46 matches the Rfam family "Eukaryotic small subunit ribosomal RNA", at positions 1786 to 1831 of the family's 1831-position model. The record is from RNAcentral. Lineage: Eukaryota; Fungi.
AAGUCGUAACAAGGUAACCGUAGGUGAACCUGCGGUUGGAUCAUUAACAAAAGUGUGAGGAGUCUGCUCCUUGCUAUGAGAUGCGGCUAUGGCCAAGUCUCUCUACCUUUUGUGAACUGUUAAUUGUCUCUGGUAGUGAAUGUUGGUCUGUGGGCCAGCACUCCUGCCAGUAAUCAACCUUGAGUAUUAUCUAGUCUUAGCUACUUGAAAAAGUAAACAACUUUUGACAAUGGAUCUCUUGGCUCUU